This 407-nucleotide ribosomal RNA is filed under the name uncultured bacterium. Its description in RNAcentral is "partial 16S ribosomal RNA". It matches the Rfam family "Bacterial small subunit ribosomal RNA", at positions 30 to 526 of the family's 1533-position model. The record is from RNAcentral.
AUUGAACGCUGGCGGCAGGCCUAACACAUGCAAGUCGAGCGGAGCGGCGGACGGGUGAGUAAUGCCUAGGAAUCUGCCUGGUAGUUGGGGAUAACGUCCGGAAACGGGCGCUAAUACCGCAUACUAUCAGAUGAGCCUAGGUCGGAUUAGCUAGUUGGUGGGGUAAAGGCCUACAAAGGCGACGAUCCGUAACUGGUCUGAGAGGAUGAUCAGUCAAACAGGAACUGAGACACGGUCCAGACUCCUACGGGAGGCAGCAGUGGGGAGUAGUGGACAAUGGGCGAAAGCCUGAUUCAGCCAUGCCGCGUGAGUGAAGAAGGUCUUCGGAUUGUAAAGCACUUUAAGUUGGGAGGAGUUAAAAACAGAAUAAGCACCGGCUAACUUCGUGGCAGCAGCCGCGGUAAUAC